RNAcentral lists this non-coding RNA (80 nucleotides) under Chroococcidiopsis thermalis PCC 7203. RNAcentral describes it as "Photosynthesis regulatory RNA1". It matches the Rfam family "Photosynthesis regulatory RNA1". Rfam says of the family: Formerly known as Syr1 discovered in Synechocystis sp PCC 6803, is a regulatory factor controlling photosynthetic functions. PsrR1 interacts with the ribosome binding regions of several photosynthesis-related mRNAs. The record is from Rfam by way of RNAcentral. Lineage: Bacteria; Bacillati; Cyanobacteriota; Cyanophyceae; Chroococcidiopsidales; Chroococcidiopsidaceae.
AAGAUUUAAGUUCGAUAACAGUAGCUCCCAUCGGCAUUUAAUUCCUCCUCUUGCACCUCGGCUUUUGAGUCGAGGUUUUU